CGUCGGGCUCCGUAUAGGGCGAUUUCACAGUGACGUAGUCCCUCCGCCAGAGCAACUCUGCCCCUGCGGGGGUGAGGAAGUGGGCGGGGCAGAAGGGAAAAGCGAGGGAACCGGCCGGCUGGGUCGUACCAAAUGGAAGAGAGAAACCAGUGCGGCUUCCUUCUUUGCAGGCCAUCAUGGAGUGAGGUGCUGUUGCACCACUGCUAAGAACUAGUCCCAGUCUGCGGUUUGAAGCAGCCUGCUUCAUAAUAUGGCCAGCCCUGGCAUCUGAUCUAGCCAAGCACUUAUUUUGCCCUUAAACAAGAAGGAAUAUUCAGAAUCAUUUAACACAGGUUGUUAGUUGCUGCAAGACUGCUCCUCCUGCUGUUUACGUUCUGAAUGCGACUUGCCCGAACGGAGGCAUUUUGCUGCUGAUGAGCAGCUAGUCUGGAAAGCACCCAGGACUGGUCAUUGUCCAGAUAGAAGACCAUCUGAGAACCUUAUGUACCAUAUUCACCUGAAUACAAGAUGACUCUGAAUUUACGAGCCCCUUAAAAAGCAGAGGUUAAUUUCAGGUUAUACUCUUAUUUACCCAAAGGAAGAGGAGUUUGAAUUUAAGAUGACUUGAAAAAAAUCUAGUCUUUGAUUAAGGCAAAUACAGUAAGCUGCCUUGAUUUUGAUUGAAGAAACAUGGGAUAAAGAUAAGAAUCUUUGCAGAAUACCAUGCUAAAUAGUUUUCCUCCCUGCAAGCCUUGGGCUAGCCUUCCCCCUCUGAAAAUAAAAAGGCCUAGAAAAAUGUAGAUGUUUAUUAAUUUGAA
Hemicordylus capensis (graceful crag lizard) is the source of this 797-nucleotide long non-coding RNA. RefSeq lists it as uncharacterized. The transcript is spliced from 3 exons. The record is from RefSeq and is a predicted model, not a curated record. NCBI's taxonomy places the organism in Eukaryota, Metazoa, Chordata, Lepidosauria, Squamata, Cordylidae.